Molecule: ribosomal RNA, 492 nt
Filed under: uncultured bacterium
Lineage: Bacteria
Description: partial 16S ribosomal RNA
Rfam family: Bacterial small subunit ribosomal RNA
Source: RNAcentral
AGUGAACGCUGGCGGUAGGCCUAACACAUGCAAGUCGAACGGCAGCACAGUAAGAGCUUGCUCUUACGGGUGGCGAGUGGCGGACGGGUGAGGAAUACAUCGGACUCUACUUUUUCGUGGGGGAUAACGUAGGGAAACUUACGCUAAUACCGCAUACUACCUACGGGUGAAAGCAGGGGAUCUUCGGACCUUGCGCGAUUGAAUGAGCCGAUGCCGGAUUAGCUAGUUGGCGGGGUAAAGGCCCACCAAGGCGACGAUCCGUAGCUGGUCUGAGAGGAUGAUCAGCCACACUGGAACUGAGACACGGUCCAGACUCCUACGGGAGGCAGCAGUGGGGAAUAUUGGACAAUGGGCGCAAGCCUGAUCCAGCCAUACCGCGUGGGUGAAGAAGGCCUUCGGGUUGUAAAGCCCUUUUGUUGGGAAAGAAAAGCAGCAGGUUAAUACCCCGCUGUUCUGACGGUACCCAAAGAAUAAGCACCGGCUAACUUCGUG